GAGCCAGUCGCCUAAGGUGGGAUAGAUGAUUGGGGUGAAGUCGUAACAAGGUAGCCGUAUCGGAAGGUGCGGCUGGAUCACCUCCUUU
This 88-nucleotide ribosomal RNA is filed under the name Enterococcus faecium. RNAcentral describes it as "partial 16S ribosomal RNA". It matches the Rfam family "Bacterial small subunit ribosomal RNA", at positions 1446 to 1533 of the family's 1533-position model. The record is from RNAcentral. Lineage: Bacteria; Bacillati; Bacillota; Bacilli; Lactobacillales; Enterococcaceae.